AGAGGGCCUGGUUUGGUCCUGUGCUGGUUCCCCAGCUGUAAGACUGGGGUCCCUGAGCCCCCACUUGCUCAGGUCGGCAUCAAUAUGGUGACCUCCCUGGAGUGGGGGACCACCAGGUUGCCUAAGGAGGAGUGAACUGGCCCAGGCCGGUAACGGAGCAGGUCAAAACUCCUGUACUGAUCAGUUGAAUUGUUUAUGUAACAUUCUUUCU
Unclassified non-coding RNA from Cricetulus griseus (Chinese hamster), 211 nucleotides. It matches the Rfam family "Metazoan signal recognition particle RNA". Rfam says of the family: The signal recognition particle (SRP) is a universally conserved ribonucleoprotein. It is involved in the co-translational targeting of proteins to membranes. The eukaryotic SRP consists of a 300-nucleotide 7S RNA and six proteins: SRPs 72, 68, 54, 19, 14, and 9. The record is from Ensembl. Lineage: Eukaryota; Metazoa; Chordata; Mammalia; Rodentia; Cricetidae.